RNAcentral lists this ribosomal RNA (406 nucleotides) under uncultured bacterium. RNAcentral describes it as "partial 16S ribosomal RNA". It matches the Rfam family "Bacterial small subunit ribosomal RNA", at positions 30 to 526 of the family's 1533-position model. The record is from RNAcentral.
AUUGAACGCUGGCGGCAGGCCUAACACAUGCAAGUCGAACGAGUGGCGGACGGGUGAGUAAUGUCUGGGAAACUGCCUGAUGGAGGGGGAUAACUACUGGAAACGGUAGCUAAUACCGCAUACCAUCAGAUGUGCCCAGAGGGGAUUAGCUAGUUGGGGGGGUAACGGCGCACCAAGGCGACGAUCCCUAUCUGGUCUGAUAGGAUGACCAGCCACACGGGAAAUGAGACACGGUCCAGACUCAUACGUGAGGCAGCAGUGGGGAAGAUUGCACAAUGGGAGCAAGCCUGAUGCAGCCAUGCCGAGUGUAUGAAGAAGGCCUUCGGGUUGUAAAGGACUUUCAGCGGGGAGGCGUUACCCGCAGAAGAAGCACCGGCUAACUCCGUGCCAGCAGCCGCGGUAAUAC